GAUGAAGAACGUAGCGAAAUGCGAUAAGUAAUGCGAAUUGCAGAAUCCAGCGAGUCAUCGAAUCUUUGAACGCACAUUGCGCCCGCCAGUAUUCUGGCGGGCAUGCCUGUCCGAGCGUCAUUUCAACCCUCGGGCCCCCCUCUGCGGGCGGCCCGGCGUUGGGGCUCAGGCGCCGUCUCUGCUCGGCGCCUGUCCCCUAAAUGCAGUGGCGGCCUCGCCGCUGCCUCCUCCGCGUAGUAGCACAAACCUCGCGGCUGGAAGGCGGCGCGGCCACGCCGUAAAACCCCCCAACUUUACCAAGGUUGACCUCGGAUCAGGUAGGAAUACCCGCUGAACUUAAGCAUAUCAAUAAGCGGAGGA
RNAcentral lists this unclassified non-coding RNA (360 nucleotides) under soil metagenome. RNAcentral's name for it is "partial contains 5.8S ribosomal RNA, internal transcribed spacer 2, and large subunit ribosomal RNA". The stretch from base 1 to 120 matches the Rfam family "5.8S ribosomal RNA", at positions 35 to 154 of the family's 154-position model. The record is from RNAcentral.